GCAGUUUGCAGUUAUGAUGAAAGUUAAAAUGUAAGCGCAAACUGAAAUAUGAUGUUCGUACGAUAAAACUGAUUUACGUCUAAACGUCGAUUCGGAAAAUACUGAACUUUAAAACACGAUCGUAAAUGUGCAGAAGGCAGUAAGCUAUUGAGGAGGUUUGUAGUAAGGAUAAGAUGCUCAAAGUAAAUGCAAACCGAGAUUUAGAGUGGUUCGGUCAAUCUUGACCUACAUCCACUUUUGGCUU
This 244-nucleotide long non-coding RNA is filed under the name Musa acuminata (dwarf banana). RNAcentral describes it as "long non-coding RNA (MACU_LNC008530)". Lineage: Eukaryota; Viridiplantae; Streptophyta; Magnoliopsida; Zingiberales; Musaceae. The record is from RNAcentral.